This 24-nucleotide unclassified non-coding RNA is filed under the name Mus musculus (house mouse). RNAcentral's name for it is "oocyte_clustered_small_RNA288". Lineage: Eukaryota; Metazoa; Chordata; Mammalia; Rodentia; Muridae. The record is from RNAcentral.
UGCACUGCCAUAGGGAACGGUGAG